RNAcentral lists this ribosomal RNA (253 nucleotides) under uncultured bacterium. Its description in RNAcentral is "partial 16S ribosomal RNA". It matches the Rfam family "Bacterial small subunit ribosomal RNA", at positions 524 to 776 of the family's 1533-position model. The record is from RNAcentral.
UACGGAGGGGGCUCGCGUGUUUCGGAAUUACUGGGCGUAAAGCGCACGUAGGCGGAUCGUUAAGUCGGGGGUGAAAUCCCAGGGCUCAACCCGGGAACUGCCUUCGAUGCUGGCGAGCUGGAGGUCGAGAGAGGCGAGUGGAAUGCCGAGUGUAGAGGUGAAAUUCGUAGAUAUUCGGCGGAACACCAGUGGCGAAGGCGGCUCGCUGGCUGCAUACUGACGCUGAGGUGCGAAAACGUGCGGAGCGAUCAGG